UACAGGGGGUGCAAACGUUGCUCGGAAUCAUUGGGCGUAAAGCGCACGUAGGCGGUUCGUUAUGUCGGAUGUGAAAGCCCUUGGCUUAACCGAGGAAGUGCAUCCGAAACUGGCGAGCUAGAGUACGAAAGAGGAUCGCGGAAUUCCCGGUGUAGAGGUGAAAUGCGUAGAGAUCCGGAAGAACACCGGUGGCGAAGGCGGCCUGCUGGGCAGUAGCUGACGCUGAGGCGCGACAGCGUGGGGAGCAAACAGG
This 253-nucleotide ribosomal RNA is filed under the name uncultured bacterium. RNAcentral's name for it is "partial 16S ribosomal RNA". It matches the Rfam family "Bacterial small subunit ribosomal RNA", at positions 524 to 776 of the family's 1533-position model. The record is from RNAcentral.